UGUGGAAGAGGAUUAGGGGGAGGAGGCUGAAGAUGAUGAGCACUUCAACCAUUCAAGCUCCCACAGAAGAACUUCCAGUGCACACCAAGUUGUAAUGAAGUUUUAUGAAAUUCUUAAUGAAAUCACGAUGACAGAAACAGACAGACCUCAUGAAUAUGUACAUUAUGGGACCCGUGUUCUGAGAGAUGACUGCACCUUGAGGUACAGUGCCAUCCCAAGUUUCUCCUGAAGCCAACUGGAGUUAAGGACUUCACUAGAUGAAAAGAUUGAACCUCACCCAGUAAAGGUGAAUGCAGAGAAAUAAAUAUGACUUGAUCCAAAAUCCA
RNAcentral lists this long non-coding RNA (326 nucleotides) under Numida meleagris (helmeted guineafowl). RNAcentral's name for it is "lncRNA (ENSNMEG00000013861.1)". The record is from RNAcentral. Lineage: Eukaryota; Metazoa; Chordata; Aves; Galliformes; Numididae.